RNAcentral lists this ribosomal RNA (464 nucleotides) under uncultured bacterium. RNAcentral describes it as "partial 16S ribosomal RNA". It matches the Rfam family "Bacterial small subunit ribosomal RNA", at positions 339 to 795 of the family's 1533-position model. The record is from RNAcentral.
CUACGGGUCGCACCAGUGGGGAAUAUUGCACAAUGGGCGCAAGCCUGAUGCAGCCAUGCCGCGUGUAUGAAGAAGACCUUCGGGUUGUAAAGUACUUUCAGCGGGGAGGAAGGGAGUAAAGUUAAUACCUUUGCUCAUUGACGUUACCCGCAGAAGAAGCACCGGCUAACUCCGUGCCAGCAGCCGCGGUAAUACGGAGGGUGCAAGCGGUAAUCGGAAUUACUGGGCGUAAAGCGCACGCAGGCGGUUUGUUAAGUCAGAUGUGAAAUCCCCGGGCUCAACCUGGGAACUGCAUCUGAUACUGGCAAGCUUGAGUCUCGUAGAGGGGGGUAGAAUUCCAGGUGUAGCGGUGAGAUGCGUAGAGAUCUGGAGGAAUACCGGUGGCGAAGGCGGCCCCCUGGACGAAGACCGACGCUCAGGUGCGAAAGUGUGGGGAGCAAACAGGAUUAGAUACCCGCGUAGUC